Molecule: long non-coding RNA, 429 nt
Filed under: Rattus norvegicus (Norway rat)
Lineage: Eukaryota; Metazoa; Chordata; Mammalia; Rodentia; Muridae
Description: long non-coding RNA NONRATT028332
Source: RNAcentral
GCAGUUGGGUCCCAGACCUCAGGUUCAUCCUGCACUCAAUUCCCGCUCCUUCCAUGAACUCAAAAGGCAAAUCACCGCCUCCAACUCUGCACAGGACCUAAAUUGAACACCAUCUUAGUAGACGAGCAGAUCUACAGUCCAUCAAAACCGAACCCAGCCCUUAGGGGAGGGUGGUGAGGCAGUCACAGCCCUUUCAGACUCCAAACACCUGUGCCCAUAUUCCCUCUCCGUAGAGUUCGAGGAAGCUGCAAAUCUUCUGGCAGAAACCCCAGAUGCAGCAACCACGAGCCAAAGUGAUAAGCUGACCUCACAAGAGCAUGUGGCUGUGGUUGUGGGUUCAGGCAUUGGCUAUGGAGCCGAAGGAGAGGAAGAGGAUGACAAAACAUCACUUCUACAGGAUGAAAAGCCACAGCCAAGAUUCUGGACGUU